UACGUAGGGUGCAAGGCGUUGUCCGGAAUUAUUGGGCGUAAAGAGCUCGUAGGCGGUCUGUCGCGUCGGCGUGUGAAAUCCCGAGGCUCAACCUCGGGUCUGCAGUCGAUACGGGCAAACUAGAGUAUUGCAGGGGAGACUGGAAUUCCUGGUGUAGCGGUGAAAUGCGCAGAUAUCAGGAGGAACACCGGUGGCGAAGGCGGGUCUCUGGGCAAUAACUGACGUGAGGAGCGAAAGCGUGGGGAGCGAACAGG
Molecule: ribosomal RNA, 254 nt
Filed under: uncultured bacterium
Lineage: Bacteria
Description: partial 16S ribosomal RNA
Rfam family: Bacterial small subunit ribosomal RNA
Source: RNAcentral